UACGGAGGAGGCAAGCGUUAUCCGGAAUUAUUGGGCGUAAAGCGUCCGCAGGUGCACUUCAAGUCUGCUGUCAAAGACCGGGGCUUAACCCCAGAAAGGCAGUGGAAACUGAAGUGCUAGAGUGCAGUAGGGGUAGAGGGAAUUCCCGGGUGUAGCGGUGAAAUGCGUAGAGAUCGGGAAGAACAUCGGUGGCGAAAGCGCUCUGCUGGACUGCAACUGACACUCAGGGACGAAAGCUAGGGGAGCGAAUGGG
RNAcentral lists this ribosomal RNA (253 nucleotides) under uncultured bacterium. RNAcentral describes it as "partial 16S ribosomal RNA". It matches the Rfam family "Bacterial small subunit ribosomal RNA", at positions 524 to 776 of the family's 1533-position model. The record is from RNAcentral.